Molecule: ribosomal RNA, 272 nt
Filed under: uncultured bacterium
Lineage: Bacteria
Description: partial 16S ribosomal RNA
Rfam family: Bacterial small subunit ribosomal RNA
Source: RNAcentral
UACGAAGGGGGCUAGCGUUGUUCGGAAUUACUGGGCGUAAAGCGCACGUAGGCGGAUAUUUAAGUCAGGGGUGAAAUCCCCAGAGCUCAACUCUGGAACUGCCUUUGAUACUGGGUAUCUUGAGUAUGGAAGAGGUAAGUGGAAUUCCGAGUGUAGAGGUGAAAUUCGUAGAUAUUCGGAGGAACACCAGUGGCGAAGGCGGCUUACUGGUCCAUUACUGACGCUGAGGUGCGAAAGCGUGGGGAGCAAACAGGAUUAGAUACCCGCGUAGU